This 274-nucleotide ribosomal RNA is filed under the name uncultured bacterium. RNAcentral describes it as "partial 16S ribosomal RNA". It matches the Rfam family "Bacterial small subunit ribosomal RNA", at positions 523 to 796 of the family's 1533-position model. The record is from RNAcentral.
AUACGGAGGGUGCAAGCGUUGUUCGGAAUCACUGGGCGUAAAGGGCGCGCAGGUGGUUUUACAAGUCAGAUGUGAAAGCCCACGGCUCAACCGUGGAAGUGCAUUUGAAACUGUAAGACUUGAGUAUCAGAGGGGAAGGUGGAAUUCCCGGUGUAGAGGUGAAAUUCGUAGAUAUCGGGAGGAAUACCGGUGGCGAAGGCGACUUUCUGGCUGAAUACUGACGCUGAGGCGCGAAAGCGUGGGGAGCAAACAGGAUUAGAAACCCUUGUAGUCC